GAUGAACGCUCGCGGGAGGCCUAACACAUGCAAGCCGAGCGGUAGAGUUUCUUCGGAAACUUGAGAGCGGCGCACGGGUGCGUAACACGUGUGCAACCUACCUUUAUCUGGGGGAUAGCCUUUCGAAAGGAAGAUUAAUACCCCAUAAUAUAAUGAUUGGCAUCAAUUAUUAUUGAAAACUCCGGUGGAUAGAGAUGGGCACGCGCAAGAUUAGAUAGUUGGUGAGGUAACGGCUCACCAAGUCAAUGAUCUUUAGGGGUCCUGAGAGGGAGAUCCCCCACACUGGGACUGAGACACGGACCAGACUCCUACGGGAGGCAGCAGUGAGGAAUAUUGGACAAUGGGUGAGAGCCUGAUCCAGCCAUCCCGCGUGAAGGAUGACGGUCCUAUGGAUGGUAAACUUCUUUUGUACAGGGAUAAACCUACCCUCGUGAGGGUAGCUGAAGGUACUGUACGAAUAAGCACCGGCUAACUCCGUG
Molecule: ribosomal RNA, 479 nt
Filed under: uncultured bacterium
Lineage: Bacteria
Description: partial 16S ribosomal RNA
Rfam family: Bacterial small subunit ribosomal RNA
Source: RNAcentral